Molecule: ribosomal RNA, 426 nt
Filed under: Triticum aestivum (bread wheat)
Lineage: Eukaryota; Viridiplantae; Streptophyta; Magnoliopsida; Poales; Poaceae
Description: partial small subunit ribosomal RNA
Source: RNAcentral
AUGAUUGCAGAAUUUGAUAUGGUAAUGCAAGAUCACCUUAGACAUGUUGAGAACAAGGAAACCCAUUAUCACUAUCUCAGUCAUAAAAUACAAAAUGAGCUGAUAUCUCUUUUGGCUUCUGACAUCACAUGUUCUAUCAUAAAGGUUGUUAAAGAGGCCAAGUAUUUCUCUGUUAUCCUAGAUUGUACCCCUGAUGUUAGUCAUCAAGAACAAAUGACCUUUUUAGUUCGAUGUGUUAAUCUGUCUGAUGGCAAAAUAAAAAUUGAGGAGUACUUUCUGGGGUUCUUGAAAGUGGAUGACACUUCUGGCUUAGGGAUUUUCAAAGUACUGCUUGAUUCUGUUGAGUCUUUUGGCCUAAAUAUUCAAGAUAUAAGGGGUCAAGGAUAUGAUAACGGUUCUAAUAUGAAAGGAAAAUACCGAGGUGUA